This 28-nucleotide unclassified non-coding RNA is filed under the name synthetic construct. Its description in RNAcentral is "RNA (28-MER) from synthetic construct (PDB 8SSW, chain D)". The record is from RNAcentral.
CAAGGUCAUUCGCAAGAGUGGCCUUGCG